RNAcentral lists this ribosomal RNA (227 nucleotides) under Mesocestoides sp. 53 NED 26-15. RNAcentral's name for it is "partial small subunit ribosomal RNA". The record is from RNAcentral. Lineage: Eukaryota; Metazoa; Platyhelminthes; Cestoda; Cyclophyllidea; Mesocestoididae.
CUUUUAUUAUGUUGGUGUAUAUCUGGUUUGAUAUUAGUGUUUAAUAGCUUAAUUUGUGUAUUUGUUAUUUAAGCCAAGUCUAUGUGCUGCUUGUAAAAGGUUUCAUGCGUUACAUUUAUAAGUUUGGUUAUGUAAUUAACUUUGUAAAUUGAGGACUUAAAAGUAAUGUAGAAUAAGUUUGUUUACAUGAAAAGGGUUUAGCUUGGGUACACACCGCCCGUCACACA